AGCGAUCUUUGCUGGACUUUUACUGGAGUGCUUGCACAAAGGUAAAAGACUGGCGCUAGAUAGCGGCAAACGGGUGAGGAACACGUGAGAAAUUUUCCCUUAAGUCGAACAUAGCUUCGUGAAAACGGAGGUAAUAUUCGAUAAGGUACUUUGGCCUCAUGGCCAAAGUAUUAAAGGUGGGGACCCUUCGGGGCCUACCGCUUUUGGAUGAUCUCGCGACCUAUCAGCUUGUUGGUGGGGUAAUGGCCUACCAAGGCGUAUGACGGGUAGCUGGUCUGAGAGGAUGGUCAGCCACACUGGGACUGAGACACUGCCCAGACUCCUACGGGAGGCUGCAGUCGAGAAUCUUUAGCAAUGGACGAAAGUCUGACUAUGCGACGCCCGUGAAGGAUGAAGGUUUUCGGAUCGUAAACUUCUUUUGUCAGGAAAGAAAAUGCUCAACUCUAACAGAGCUGAGCACUGACGGUACCUGACGAAUAAGCCACGGCCAACUCCGUGCCAGCAGCCGCGGUAAUACGGAGGUGGCAAGCGUUACUCGGAAUUAUUGGGUGUAAAGGGCAAGUAGGCGGUCUAUUAAGUGAGGGGUGAAAUCUUCCGACUCAAUCGGAAAAUUGCCUUUCAAACUAAUAGACUUGAGAUUGGAAGAGGGAAACGGAAUUAGCAGUGUAAGGGUGAAAUCUGUAGAUAUUGCUAAGAACACCGGCGGCGAAGGCGGUUUCCUGGUCCAAUUCUGACGCUGAAUUGCGAAAGCUAGGGUAGCAAACAGAAUUAGAUACUCUGGUAGUCCUAGCUGUAAACGAUGAGUACUAGGUGUCAGUCCUUCGGGAUUGGUGCCGCAGC
This 840-nucleotide ribosomal RNA is filed under the name uncultured bacterium. RNAcentral's name for it is "bacterial SSU rRNA". It matches the Rfam family "Bacterial small subunit ribosomal RNA", at positions 65 to 852 of the family's 1533-position model. The record is from RNAcentral.